This 237-nucleotide ribosomal RNA is filed under the name uncultured bacterium. Its description in RNAcentral is "partial 16S ribosomal RNA". It matches the Rfam family "Bacterial small subunit ribosomal RNA", at positions 99 to 334 of the family's 1533-position model. The record is from RNAcentral.
CGGACGGGUGAGUAACGCGUGGGUAACCUGCCUCGAUACAGGGGGAUAACAGUUGGAAACGGCUGCUAAUACCGCAUAAGCGCACAGUACCGCAUGGUACCGGUGUGAAAAACUCCGGUGGUAUGAGAUGGACCCGCGUCUGAUUAGCUAGUUGGUGGGGUAACGGCCUACCAAGGCGACGAUCCCUAGCUGGUCUGAGAGGAUGACCAGCCACACUGGAACUGAGACACGGUCCAG